AGGUCAGCCAAUGGGAAAGGAGGAACCCAAUGGGCAUACGUCGUGAUAAAGACGUCUUUUACUGGUUGAAAUCUGGUCGGGACGUCUUAUAACUAGAUCACAACCGGAUUAAGACAUCUUAUCAAUUCAUUAACACCAAUCUAUACAAACGUUAGCUAGUUUUAAGUAGCUAACGUUAGUCCUCUGGCUAAUCCUCCAUGGACAUGUUUCUGAAACAUAUAAGUGACCUGAUGCAUGGCCUCUACAGCAGUGCUUGGCCAGCCACUCAGUUACGAAUGACUUAUUCAGCCACAUUCCAGGGAGAGAGCAGAACCACCCCUCAUUCAAUCCAUAGUUACUGAAGAUCUGCCCCAUCACACCAGUCUUCAAGAGGGCCACUAUGCUCCAGAUCUGACCCAUCACACCACUCUUCAAGAGGGCCACUAUACUCCAGAUCUGACCCAUCACACCACUCUUCAAGAGGGCCACUAUGCUCCAGAUCUGACCCAUCACACCACUCUUCAAGAGGGCCACUACGUUCUAGAUCUGACCCAUCACACCAGUCUUCAAGAGGGCCACUAUGCUCCAGAUCUGACCCAUCACACCACUCUUCAAGAGGGCCACUACGUUCUAGAUCUGACCCAUCACACCAGUCUUCAAGAGGGCCACUGUGCUCCAGAUCUGACCCAUCACACCACAUUUCAAGAGGGCCACUAUGCUCCAGAUCUGACACAUCACACCAGUCUUCAAGAGGGCCACUAUGAUCUAUCACAAAUGUGACUGUUUUUACGAGGGAAAGUUAACCUUUUGAUACCAUGUGAAUUAAUUUAGGGGAAGGGGUUUAUUUUUACGAUAUCUGGCAAAAUCCUUGAGUUUAUUUUAAUGAGCAAUGGGUACAUAACAUUUGUUUAAUCUCACAUUCUUUAGUCAUUGUGGUAAAUCUGUGAUAAAUGUGUGUAGAGACAGACAGAUUUAGAAAACAACAAAUAAUAUCACAAAUACAUUGUUGAGUGAGUCAUAUAAACAUUUAUUUAGUUUGUAAAUUGUAAACUUGCAAAUCACAUAUACAUGGUCAGUUUGUUAACCCAUUUACACAUGAAAUAUGGUGCUGAACAUGUAGUGAUAUGUGAGAGAUUGUCAAAAGGUACAAUUCUCGUAGUGGCAAUGUCAUAUAACCAACUGAACAAAGACACAGUUUUUUAUAUAUCAACUGUAGUCUUGGAGAGAGAAAAUAAUACCAUAAUAUUAAAGGUAAUAUUUAGUAUUUAAUAUUAGAGUUCACCUAAUUUUAGUUUAUAUGACAAAACAAGCAAUGCAUCGUGUAGAGAACCAUUGUACCAUACAAACCGCUGUGAAAUAUCUUUUCAAAAUCCCCAAAUAUAGCAUUUUCAGCUGUUUGAAGCUGGUGUACAAAACCAAAUAGACACAAAAACGAAAUUUAAGAACGGGAAGCAUAGAAAUAGCGCACAUCUUCCACUUCUUAGACUUGCUUUCAAUGAGAAUUACAGAUCUUUAACUCACUUUUCUACGUGAACUUGGUCAGGUCGCCCAAAAAAUAACAUAUUGUAGCUUUAAUAAACAUUCAUAGAUAUAAUAUACUGCAUUUAUAUUCAUAUAAGCAAUUUUUAACAUGCAAUUGUAAACUUUGUGCCGAUGCCAUCUUAUCAAUCUUGCGAGCAAGUUCCUGCUCUUAGCGACAAAAAGCACCUGGCUAUGUACACUAAUAUUUUUGAUUAAUUCUUUCUUUAAUCUAUUUUUAGGGUUGUUUUCAAAUUUGAAAUGCGGUACCCUGGUGCGGUUCUCCAGAGCGUUUGAGAGACUUCGACAUAAUACGUUUGGGUUUCACAAUGCAAUUUCUUUAACAUAUCAGAAUUCGUUCUGAAAUUCUGGGACUGUCUGCGUUAAAACCCUGCUAGCUCAAACAUGGAGACCAAUUUACAAUUAUUUGUACUGUGUCUUGUGAUUUCUUUGAACUAAGUACUACAACAGUAUUCUUUUUCCAUAAAUUCUUAAUCUUUUUUAUUCUUUAUUGAUUUUCAAAUUGUCAAAUCAUUUAUAUGAUUCAUCUCACAAAUUACACCUAUGAUGGAUGUUCGCUCUUCCUAGUGUCAAUAAUUAUGAAUUCAUGGAUGAUAUAAUUGUUCUAGUGCCAAUAAUGAUAGUUAAUAAUAUAUAGAUUAAUAUAAACAGAUCAACAAAUCAAUAACUUGAAAAAUUAAGGAAGAAUGGAUCAAAAUACGAGAUGAUCACAAGCAAAGAUGUGGUCUACUAGCCAAGCUGGCCCAAAACCCUUCAAUUCCAUCCCUGAUCACAAGUACACGGACCAAUAGAUGACGUUGAAGAAGAGGAAGGAGAAGGGGAAGAGGGCUCGGGCAUAGAGGUCGACCCGCUUGGCAGCUGAGGGGAUGAUGGGCUUGGGCGGCGGCGGUUUCUUGGCCUUGGCCUGGCUUUUGCUCAGGCCGUGGGGCAAGGUAAUGGGCUUCCCGUAGCAGUCAAAGUUCGAGAGCUCAAAGUCCCGCGGUAGUGAGCCAACAAUGCUGAAGUCGUUGGUGCGCAGGUCCGAUUUGGAGGUGCACACCUUUUUGCACCGGGUCUCUGCCCCCUGGAAAAGGGAAAGUUGGUAAACAUAACUUUGUUGAUGGGAAAGUGGUCUUUUUGCUAUCAGAGUACCCACCCCACAAUCACACCACACACACACAAUCACAGAAGGCUGGGGAGAGCACAGGGUCAGGAAAAAAGCAGUGCCCCUUGAGCAGGUUAGGGGUCAAGUGCCUCACCUGGUGGUAAGGUAGUGAUGGGAGCCAUUGAAAACAUU
Long non-coding RNA from Oncorhynchus kisutch (coho salmon), 2794 nucleotides. RefSeq lists it as uncharacterized. The transcript has 3 exons. NCBI's taxonomy places the organism in Eukaryota, Metazoa, Chordata, Actinopteri, Salmoniformes, Salmonidae. The record is from RefSeq and is a predicted model, not a curated record.